UACAGAGGGUGCAAGCGUUGUUCGGAAUUAUUGGGCGUAAAGCGCGUGUAGGCGGCUUUGCAAGUCGGGUGUGAAAGCCCUCAGCUUAACUGAGGAAGUGCGCCCGAAACUGCAGAGCUUGAAUACCGGAGAGGAUGGCGGAAUUCCCCAAGUAGAGGUGAAAUUCGUAGAUAUGGGGAGGAACACCGGUGGCGAAGGCGGCCAUCUGGACGGCUAUUGACGCUGAGACGCGAAAGCGUGGGGAGCAAACGGG
RNAcentral lists this ribosomal RNA (253 nucleotides) under uncultured bacterium. RNAcentral describes it as "partial 16S ribosomal RNA". It matches the Rfam family "Bacterial small subunit ribosomal RNA", at positions 524 to 776 of the family's 1533-position model. The record is from RNAcentral.